This 253-nucleotide ribosomal RNA is filed under the name uncultured bacterium. RNAcentral describes it as "partial 16S ribosomal RNA". It matches the Rfam family "Bacterial small subunit ribosomal RNA", at positions 524 to 776 of the family's 1533-position model. The record is from RNAcentral.
UACAGAGGUCUCAAGCGUUGUUCGGAUUCAUUGGGCGUAAAGGGUGCGUAGGUGGUGGGGUAAGUCGGGUGUGAAAUCUCGGGGCUUAACUCCGAAACUGCAUUCGAUACUGCCGUGCUUGAGGACUGGAGAGGAGACUGGAAUUUACGGUGUAGCGGUGAAAUGCGUAGAUAUCGUAAGGAAGACCAGUGGCGAAGGCGGGUCUCUGGACAGUUCCUGACACUGAGACACGAAGGCCAGGGGAGCAAACGGG